RNAcentral lists this long non-coding RNA (1396 nucleotides) under Elaeis guineensis (African oil palm). RNAcentral's name for it is "long non-coding RNA (EGUI_LNC003266)". Lineage: Eukaryota; Viridiplantae; Streptophyta; Magnoliopsida; Arecales; Arecaceae. The record is from RNAcentral.
CUGGAAAAGUAGAUUUUUGAAAAGGAAAUGUUAAGGGAAUGGGAUUAUAUAACUCAAGCAAAAAUGACAUUUUAGUUUAACUUAGGAACAGAGUUUGUUAUGUUGCUGUAAUAUAAAAAUUCUUGUCAACUGGGGGAGAAAAUAAAUUUAUGGUGGAUUGGCAUCUAAAUAACAAGUUCAAACAUAAGCUUUCCUUUUGUUUUAUUUCAGAAACAAUAAAUGCUAACUUUCCAAGUAGUUGCUGGUUAGCUUGCCGCCAGAAUUUUGGUAGAUUUCAUUUGCUUCAAUCCUGGUGUGGACAAUCUUACUAACUAUAAAAAUGAGGAGCAGCAGCAGCAGCAACAUUUUAGCAGCAGCCAUUCCAAACUGCAAAAUAGCCAUGUCCCAUUAGCUCUUGCUUUAUUCCCUAUAUCUGUAAUACGGCAUUGAACUGAGAUCCGAAGUGCAUUGCUACGAUAAUUUGAUUAAACAUUUAUGACGAACUUGAAUCUGUGGGGCUUUUCAGUGCAUUUGAGUAGAUAAAUUAGAAAAUGAAGUAAACAGAGAUUGCGGACAAAUUUCAUCACAAAAGCUGCUCGGUUGACUUCAGAACAAGCCUAGAGAACAUGGUGUGGAGGGCUAGCAGUUUUAGCAGCUGGUCAUAAGAACAAGCUCAGAUGAUAAAGCGAGUUUUAUUGGCUAAACCAGUGGGUGUCAGGUCUGCUGUUAUGCUAAUCUGUUAUUUUCUUGCCAACAAUUCAAAGACUUUGGUUGGUUAGGCACAAAACAGGGAAAGCUGUAUCUAUUUGGUGUCUUUGUACUCAAGUUUCUGCUCAAUUAAUUGUUUUAUCUACAUCAUAAACUAUUUAUCCAAAUGCAAAAGAUCAAAAUGCUCCAGCUAAGUACAUCAGCCCAGCAACAAAUUUUCACUAGUAUGAAACUAUCAACAUUCUACUUUAUGUUCAUCAUUUUCAUUUAUAAGUUUCAAAAAUCAGAAGUUUCUCCAACUUACAAAUUUCUAAGAUGCCACCAUCUUCUUGGAGGAGAUUCUUCAACAAGUUUAUCCAAGGAUAAAGUGGAAGGUCCUUUGUGCUGCUCCGCUGGUUGCCGGUGCAAGAGAGGCGAGGUCUCUGGCGAUGAGUGAUCAGGCGAUGAGAAUGGUGGUGAUGGUGAUAGUGAAGGAGAGAAGGGAUACUUGUGAUUGCCUGGUCCAACACUGAUGGGUAGAGGAGACGGUGGUGUUGGAGGAGAUGAGGAAGGUGAGGAGGCUAAAUCAGGCCUCAUUUGGGGGAUAUGAAGAAGGUGGAGAGAGUUUUCAGCUAGGAUAUUUUCUCAAGGGCUUGAGGUGGUGAAGAGAUUUCCCUUCCCCUUGGCUGAGUUUUCUCCUGCUAUGAGUGAAUGGUUUUUGUUCCUUCUG